CUCUUUGCAAAAGUGACAAGGUGUUUGCGGUUGCCUCAGAAGACAUGGAUACUUUAGCUUUUGGGGCACUGAGGUUCUUGAAGAGCUAAGACUCACUAUGGAUCAAUUCAUUGAUUUGUGUAUUCUCUCUGAUGUGAUUAUUGUGAUAUCAUUAAAGGUACGUAACUCGGCCAAUUCGUGAGACUUGAGAUUUUUUAUGCAAGGAGUGAGCUUUGUUAGGAUGUAGCUUGCCUUGCUAAUUUGUAAAUUAAAAGUCAUAUGGAGAACAACAAAUGGAAAACAUAUGAUUUAAUGUAUAUGGAGAACAGUA
Molecule: long non-coding RNA, 310 nt
Organism: Zingiber officinale
Lineage: Eukaryota; Viridiplantae; Streptophyta; Magnoliopsida; Zingiberales; Zingiberaceae
Exons: 4
Source: RefSeq, a predicted model, not a curated record